CACGAUAGCGAAGCCUGACCGAGCACGCCGCGUGAGCAUUGAAGGCCUUCGGGUCGUAAAGCUCUUUUGUUAAGGAAGAACAAGUACGAGAGUAACUGCUCGUACCUUGACGGUACUUAACGAGAAAGCCACGGCUAACUACGUGCCAGCAGCUGCGGUAAUACGUAGGUGGCGAGCGUUAUCCGGAAUUAUUGGGCGUAAAGCGCGCGCAGGGGGUUUCUUAAGUCUGAUGUGAAACCCCACUGCUGACUCGUGGAGGGUCAUUGGAAACUGGGAAACUUGAGUGCAGAAGAGGAAAGCGGAAUUCCACGUGUAGCGGUGAAAUGCGUAGAGAUGUGGAGGAACAACCAGUGGCGAAGGCGGCUUUCUGGUCUGUAACUGACGCUGAGGCGCGAAAGCGUGGGGGAGAAAACAGGAUUGGAUACCCUGGUAGUCCACGCCGUAAACAAUGAUUGCUAGGUGUUAGAGGGUUUCCGCCCUUUUAGGGCUGAAGUUAACGCAUUAAGCACUCCGCCUGGGGAGUACGGUCGCAAGAUUGAAACUAAAGGAUUGACGGGGGCCCGCACAAGCGGUGGAGCAUGUGUUUAAUUCGAAGCACGCAAAGACCUUACCAGUCUUGACAUCCUCUGAAAACCUUAGAGAUAGGGCUUCCCUUCGGGGACAGAUGACAGUGGUACAUGGUUGUCGUCAGCUCGUGUCGUGAGAUGUUGGUUAGUCCCGCAACGAGCGCACCUUGGACUUAGUGCAGCUUCAGUGGGCCUCUAGGUACUGCCGGGACAACGGAGAGGUGGGAUACUCAAUCAUCAUGCCCUUAUGACUGGGCUACACCUGCUAAAUGGACGGUACAAGGGCGCAGACCCAGUGACUAUUCAAAACGUCUCAGUUCGAUCUAGUGCACUCGCUUCUGAGCUGGAAUCCUAGAUCGGAUCGAUGCCGGUAAACUUCCGGCUUGACAACCCCGCCACCCGGGAGUUAAAC
Molecule: ribosomal RNA, 978 nt
Filed under: uncultured Bacillus sp.
Lineage: Bacteria; Bacillati; Bacillota; Bacilli; Caryophanales; Bacillaceae
Description: bacterial SSU rRNA
Rfam family: Bacterial small subunit ribosomal RNA
Source: RNAcentral